UGCCAGCCGCCGCGGUAACACGGGGGGCGCAAGCGUUAUUCGGAAUUAUUGGGCGUAAAGGGCGCGCAGGCGGUCUUGUCCGUCAGGUGUGAAAGCUCGGGGCUCAACCCCGGAAGUGCACUUAAAACUGGCAGGCUAGAGUCUGGGAGGGGAUAGCGGAAUUCCGGGUGUAGAGGUGAAAUUCGUAGAUAUCCGGAGGAACACCAGAGGCGAAGGCGGCUAUCUGGACCAGUACUGACGCUGAGGAGCGAAAGCGUGGGGAGCAAACAGGAUUAGAUA
This 279-nucleotide ribosomal RNA is filed under the name uncultured bacterium. RNAcentral's name for it is "partial 16S ribosomal RNA". It matches the Rfam family "Bacterial small subunit ribosomal RNA", at positions 506 to 784 of the family's 1533-position model. The record is from RNAcentral.